GGAUCGGCGGAUCGGUCGCGCCAUCGGUGUGUACUGGUCCAGUCGGUUUCUCCCUUCUGACAAACCACGAUGUCAUUAAUUUGGUGUCGCGGGGAAUCAGGACUGUUACUUUGAAAAAAUUAGAGUGUUUAAAGCAGGCAUUAGCUUGAAUACAUUAGCAUGGAAUAAUGAAAUAGGACGUUUGAUCUUAUUUUGUUGGUUUCUAGGAUCGACGUAAUGAUUAAUAGGGAUAGUUGGG
Molecule: ribosomal RNA, 238 nt
Filed under: Glomus sp.
Lineage: Eukaryota; Fungi; Glomeromycota; Glomeromycetes; Glomerales; Glomeraceae
Description: partial small subunit ribosomal RNA
Rfam family: Eukaryotic small subunit ribosomal RNA (bases 47-238)
Source: RNAcentral